UCUCUCUUCUUAUUUAUCUUCUUAAACUAUGUUUACAGCUAGCUUAUAGUCUGCUAUUGUACCUGUUCUAACCCGCUUAAAAACCCCCUACCAAAUACUGGUGGGCUUGGAGCCAGCAGCAAAAGCCCAUUAUUAACGGGACGCACGCGCGCGCGCGCAGGGGACAAGUCGAGGGAGAGCUAGCUAGCUUAGCUUGCUUGGUUGCUUUGGAGGUGUGGCUUGCCAUGGCGAGAGCGUUCCGCGCGGCCUCGCCGCUGCCGCUGCCGUCCUCCAGCUCCAGGGCGGCCGCGGCGAGCGGUGGCACCGGCGGAGGCGGAGGCGGGAACUUCCCGUGGCUGAGCAGGAAGCGGCUGGGCGCCAAGCCGCCGUCGCCGCAGCGGCGAGGUGGACAGGAGAGGGAGGGAGGUGGAGAUGAGGCGGCGGGGAUGGGGACGACGACGAGGGCCGCGCGGUUCUCCGCGACGUCGUCCGCGGAGCCUGCUGAGGUGCAGUCGUCGUCGUCGUCGAGGAAGCGCGCGGACGCGCUGGCGAGGCUGCGGGCGGCGUUCCUGGCGGCGAUCACGCACCGGCGGCGGCGGCGGCAGCUGGGGUCGAGCCUGACGGGCACCAUCUUCGGGCGGCGCCGCGGCCGCGUUCACGUCGCGCUGCAGACGGACACCCGCUCGCCGCCGGUGCUGCUGGUGGAGAUGGCCGCCUACUCCACCGGCGCGCUCGUCAGGGAGAUGUCCUCCGGCCUCGUCCGCCUCGCGCUCGAGUGCGAGAAGCAACCAAUCAACCCAGGCGAGAAGCGGCGGGCGCUGCUGGAGGAGCCGACGUGGCGGGCCUACUGCAACGGCCGAAAGUGCGGCUUCGCGGUGCGCAGGGAGUGCGGCGCCGACGAGUGGAGGGUUCUUGGCGCCGUCGAGCCGGUGUCCGUCGGCGCCGGCGUUCUCCCCGACGACGCCGCCGCCGCCGCCGCCGCCGAGGAGGGCGACCUGAUGUACAUGCGCGCGAGGUUCGAGCGGGUGGUCGGGUCGAGGGACUCGGAGGCGUUCUACAUGAUGAACCCUGACGGCAGCGGCGGCCCGGAGCUCAGCAUCUACCUGCUCAGAGUCUGACCAUGGAUCAUACUAUCAUGGAGCAAAAUCGAAAAGAAAAAAUGAGAGAAGAAAUCAUCUUGAUGUUUGCAAUUAAUUAUGAUGCAGCAGUGUUCCUAAAUCCUUCACGCCAAGAAGUGCAAACCCUAUUGGGAAUCCUGAACAAAUUCGGGGAUGCCACGGGCCUGCAGGUAAACACAACAAAGAGUUCAAUCACGCCAAUUCGAUGCAACGACAUAGAUCUCCAAGAUAUUUCUCAAAACUUCGAUGGGCAGCUGGGUGCUUUUCCCCAAACCUACCUUGGACUGCCUCUUACUACGGGGAAGUUAAAGCGGGUCCAUUUGCAGCCGGUAAUGGACAAAAUCAGAGCAAGGAUGGGGGGCUGGAAAAACAAGCUGGUUUAUCAAAGCGGGCGGAAGGUUCUUGUGCAAUCAGUUCUCAAUGCCAUUCCAACCUACUUGCUGACCGUUCUUAAACCACCAAAAGGAUUCCUAAAUGAUGUUGACAAAGCGCAACGAAAAUUUCUUUGGGCCGGAGACCAAGAAAGUUUGGGCGGAAAAUGUAAAGUGAAUUGGCAGCAAGUAUGUUCUCCGACAAUACAUGGUGGAUUGGGCAUACCUUGUUUGGAGAAGUUCUCACGAUCGCUGAGGCUACGUUGGCUCUGGUAUGAGUGGACAAGCCCGGAAAAAAACAUGGAUAGGAACCCCGCCGCCCUGUGAUGACACCGAUCGUGCUCUGUUUGCUGCUGCCACCAAAGUAUCGGUCGGAGAUGGACGAAAGGCGAAAUUUUGGGAAUCCAACUGGAUAGGAGAUCAGCCGCUGAAAUACCUAGCCCCAAACCUCUUCAAACACUCCAAAAGGAAAAACAGGUCGGUUCUUGAGGCAAUAACUAAUGAUGCUUGGAUCGAAGACAUCCGCGGAGGGGUGACAAUACAGCUGCUUCAGGAAUAUAUAUGCGUAUGGGAAGUGCUCCACAACGCAGGAGAGGUGAUCCAUGAAGGGGCUGAGGACACAAUCCUCUGGAGGUGGUCGGCCAGUGGCUUGUAUACGGCAAAAUCAGCAUAUGUCAUGCAGUUCAUGGGCAAAACGUUUUCGGAUUCUGCUGAGCUUGUAUGGAAACUUGGGCACCAGGGAAACACAAAUUCUUCGCGUGGCUGCUGGCACAAAAUAGAAUAUGGACGGCAGAUCGUUUGCAAUGCAGGGGCUGGCCAAAUAACUAUUUCUGCCAACUCUGUUUCAGAAAUCUCGAAACGGUAUAGCACCUCUUCAUGGAGUGCCCCUUCAUGCAGCAGGUAUGGCGGGACAUUGGUCGCAAAUUCAGACCGCAAUGUUUCCUACAUGUGACCACAGACAACACUCUCCUCAAUUGGCAGCGCGAGCAAACAGAUGAGGCAGAAAAGUUGCAACAGAAAGGGCUACGUUCAGCAGUCUUGACCACGCUUUGGGAGAUUUGGAUGGAAAGGAAUAAUCGCAUCUUCAGAGGGAAAGAAUCUACACCAUCGGCACUUGCUAGCAAGAUCAUAGAUGAGCUUCGUUUGUGGGAAAUGGCAGGUGCCAAGGGAGUGAAGUGUAUUAUAUUAAGAGAUUAGGCUUUUGUUUUUUAGGGAGUGCAGGCAGGAAGAAUUCCUCCGGGAACGUCUCCCCUGCCUUCUGUUCUGUACAGUUUCUCUCACUUCUUCUAUAAUAUAAAACCA
This is an RNA transcript of Oryza sativa Japonica Group (Japanese rice), 2770 nucleotides long. It is a transcript of the gene named protein MIZU-KUSSEI 1, with no coding region annotated. The record is from RefSeq and is a predicted model, not a curated record. NCBI's taxonomy places the organism in Eukaryota, Viridiplantae, Streptophyta, Magnoliopsida, Poales, Poaceae.